RNAcentral lists this small nucleolar RNA (131 nucleotides) under Hordeum vulgare subsp. vulgare (domesticated barley). RNAcentral describes it as "Small nucleolar RNA Z247". It matches the Rfam family "Small nucleolar RNA Z247". Rfam says of the family: Z247 is a member of the C/D class of snoRNA which contain the C (UGAUGA) and D (CUGA) box motifs. Most of the members of the box C/D family function in directing site-specific 2'-O-methylation of substrate RNAs. Lineage: Eukaryota; Viridiplantae; Streptophyta; Magnoliopsida; Poales; Poaceae. The record is from Rfam by way of RNAcentral.
CCCCUUGGAGAUCAUCUCCAAAAUCCUUGCCGGUCUCAAUCUGGAAUAUAAUCCGAUCGUGUCAGCACUCGCAGCUAGGGUAGAGCCUGUCACGGUUCAGGAACUCUACAGCCAACUGCUGAGUUUUGAUC